CGAUUUAACUUCCAUGAAGAUCCGCACAUUGCACUUACCUGCGCAACACAUUCGGCUGUAUAAGUGCGGUCCGACCUCUCCGCACGUCAUCUCAUAGGUUUGCAUUCCAACCCAGAGGUGGCAUACCUGAUAAGAGUUCAACGAGUCAACAUCUGAGGAAUAAACUCAACCGCUGCCAUGUGAUCAGUCAGUGUCGCAUCAGUUCAAGAUCUGAUCCAGUCACUAUCUGUGCAUGUCAUAAAGAGGGAAGACUGUUGUAUGCGCCCAGCUCAAAAACUAAACAUUUGUGUGACCUCUCAGUGAGUGUUAUCGGGAAACGAAACACUUCAAAAUGAAGGAGCAAGCCCUGAUUCAUCCUUGAAUGACUUACUAUGUUGGUAUGUCUGGCGGUUUGUGAAAGUGGUGUGGUGGUGAAAAUGUUUUUUGGCGACAGAAAUAUGAGCGUGAGUGGGGAAAAAUAGGAGUGCGUGUGUGUGUGCGUGUGUGUGCGUGUGUGUGUGUGUGCGAUGGCAAACAGCGUGAGGGUGAGUCAUCUGGGUGUGUGUGCCCUGGGCGGGAGCUCUUGACCUUCAUCUCACGAGGAACAAUCCCCAGCAGCACCAGCAGCCACAGCAGCAGCUAUUGGGCACUGCCCACCCACAUGCACCACACAACUGGGCAUCACACAAAAGGACUACACACAAUGGGGGGGGGGGGGGGGGGUGUCCAAUGAGAUGAAUAAAAAGGAUGCAUGGAGCUGGAAGGAUGGAGAAGAGGAACGGAUAGACAGACUUGAGAAAAGUGGCUUUGACUCUCUCUUGCCUUGUGUUUAAAUUUGUGUAACUGACUCAGACAGUGAGACAACGGUUUGAAAAAGUAGUGCUUAACAUCCCUGUACCUCUCACAAACACACACAUACACACACUUUCUCUCUCUCUCUCUCUCUCUUUCUCAAACAAUUCUGUUAAUUUAAAGCACAGGACCUUCAAAGCAUGUGUUUGGGAAUUCAUUCUGUUCCAUUUAAUACAAUACCAGUGCAGUCAACUUUACCAAGCACUACAAUCCGAGCGAAUGUUUUCACUUAGUGCACCACAGACAUCUGGCUUGACGGCAAGUCAAGGUCUGUCUUGCUUCAGUACUUUAGUAUUUCAGAGACAUGCACCUU
Alosa sapidissima (American shad) is the source of this 1144-nucleotide long non-coding RNA. RefSeq lists it as uncharacterized. The record is from RefSeq and is a predicted model, not a curated record. NCBI's taxonomy places the organism in Eukaryota, Metazoa, Chordata, Actinopteri, Clupeiformes, Clupeidae. The transcript has 4 exons.